CUGAGUUCAUGAGUUGAUGGUAUUGUAUAGAAUGAUUCACAAUACCUUGCAGCAUUUAAACUGAGAAAUUCAAUCUUUCCAAAGAAUUAUUGAAUUGGACUAUCACAUUUUAAUUAAAACCAAGGUUAGGCAGCUGAUCAGUUCCGCACUAACCCCGAGCAGGCCCCGCCAUGCUCUAUUACUGGAUCCAAGGCACUCAUUGGCCUAACAUGACCACGAAUCUGGUCCACAGGUUUAUAUAAAAACAAUAAUCCAAUUCUCUAAUUCAAUUCAAGAAGCCAAUGUAAAUUAACAGAACAUCAUCAUAAAUAUCAUCAACAACGGAAUAAUUCCAAAUCAAACUUUGAUAAUAAACUUUCCAUGAGUCACCGUCCAUCCAUCCAUAAAUCAGAGUUCAGGAAAUCCCUAACUAUUCAAUAUCCUCCAUUAUCGGCUAAUCAACUGAAUUUAGCCUGCUAGACCAGCAUGACAAUGGCGGGUUGAAUAAUCAAGAAGAUCCCAAUUCAUUCAAAGCUCUAACUAUCACUGAGCAACACAUGCUUCAAUGACAAUCUGAACUUCGAAUUAAUUUGUAAAACGGAAAUUAUCUGAAUUUUUGAGGAUUAGAAAAGGAUGGAUAAAAAUAUUUGCACUUGCCAAAUAUGAAAAAGAGAGGAACGAAUAUUUGCAACACAUACGAAAAGAAUGGAUCAGAAUAAUCGCAAGAUAUCCAAAAGAAGGGUAUAGGAUACUUGCCUUAAAUCUGACUCCAGUCUCACAUCUCAAUCUCAUCUUUCCACUUUCACAAUCUAUGCAUCUCAUAGUCUCUAGACCAUCUCUGGCUAUACUCUAUCUACCGUACAUCUUCGCUUCGCUUACUCGAUUCAUCCCUUAUUCGCUUUGUAACACCACGUGACUUUCUGAACGUCUUCGGGCAUACACGUCUCGUCCAAAUCCUUUACGAGAAUAAGAUAACACUAUAAUCACUAAACAAUCGAUCGCAUAUACAUCUCACGUAUAUCGAUACCCACUUAUAUAUCCCUUUAAACUUAUCAGAUACCACGUAACACAUAAGCAUGCUUUAACUCUAACAUAUAGUCAAUCAUAUUCCACAUAACAUAUCACCAAUCAAUUAUCAUAUAAAUCCUUAUCGAAAAUCCGACAUCGUCUCGUCUAUGUAUAAGACUAUCCACCUAUUAUCCUAUCUCAAUCAUUAAUCAACCAACAAAAUCCAAUAGCUAUAAUCCAUAUAUUCUUAUCCAAUAUCAAUCAUACGAAUCAUUUAUCACUUCACAAUAUCAAAACUAACACGUACUUCACAUAAUCAUCACUUGAUAGCACUUAGAUCACAUAUUAUCACAUUAUGCAUACUUAUCAACAAUUAUUCACCUUAUAGACUCAGCCAUAUAGUCACAUCAUAUUAAAAUAGACGUUAUAAGCUUCUGUCUCUCUUUCGUUUCACUUGAUUCCGACUUACGGAUCAAAAGUUAUGCUCAAAACAGUUUUCUCACUCUCCUAUCGGCACAUAACACAUCCAACCAAUAGCAGACAACACACAACACAUAAGGUUUCCCAUCCCAAUUGAUAUUAAAUCAAGUCUUGGGUUAAAAAUGAUUUUUCGGGAAUUUUCCAGAAUUUUUAAACAUUUUUCGGAAUUAAAAUCGAUAAAAGAAUCACUUUUCGAAUAAAUAAUCAAGUCCCAAAUACUUGAAAUUGGACUUGAAAUCAUUCAUAAACAAUUAUCGAGCCUUGAAAAUAAUUUGGAAAAAUAUUUUAAAGCUCGAAACUAUUUUUCGGAAUUUUUAAAUCAAAAAGGAUAAUUAAAUCCAAUUAAUUAAUCAAUUAAAAUCAAUUAAUAAUUAAUUAAAAUAAUUAAUCAAUUAAUAUUUAAAUUAAUUGACCAAUUAAAAUAAUUAAUUACUAAUUAAAAUUAAUUAAUAAAUCAAAUUAGAUUUAUUUUUCAAUAAAGAGAUAAUUAAAAAGCAUUUUUGAAUUUAAAAUCAAUAAUUUUCGAAUUUAAAAUAAAUAAAUAAAAUGUUUUUGAAAAGAUUUAAAACUCCAGGGUUCACUGUGCAAACUUUAUGAAACCUGGGGGGUCAAACAGCAAAAUGCCGUCUUCCUCCCCCCCGUCUCGCCGGAACGGCGUCGGAAACCGACCGGCGAGUCACAGACUGCCCAGACGGCACCCAAACACUGCAGAUACACUCUACGCUUUCCCAUAAACAUAUUUACAAGCUUCGUUUUUGCAGGAGAUUAGCGAACUGGCCGGAAAAUCGACCGAAAGCUUCGCCGGCGGCGAGCUUUCGUCGACUCCGAGGGCCUCAUACACGGCUCCUCCGUCAAUUCCAAACCCAGUCGUACACUCCUCUUCUCAUCCUCUAUCCAUUCAUGUAACCCACUACUGCCCAGACUCCCUGGAUCAAUUUUCCGGUCAAAACUCAUAACUUUCCGGCCAAAUACUCAAGAACACCAAGAACACUCAAACCCACGAAUCAAACUGACUUUUCAAGGUGUUAUUGAACUCAAAAAUUGACAUAUAAUAUACCAAAACGACGAGAAAAACAUGCUCUACAUCAUAGAAUCAUCAAAACAAUCAAACAACCACGUUUGCAAAAAUUCACUAUUUAAAACAUAAUACUUCGAAUUUUAAACCUUCAAUUACUCCCUACCUGUGAAUCUCAUGUUGUUUUUGAUCAUUGAUAUGGAUUCUACUCCUCGAUAUCUUCGAUUUGACUAUUCGCACGCUUAAUUCUGACUCCAAUAACACCUUCAAAUCUUCGUUUGAUUAUGAAGAACACGAAGAACACUGCUCGGUUUCUCUCGGUAUUCGUGCAGAGAAACUGGUGAAAAUGAUUUACGGUUGAAAAUAAGCUCUAGAAAGGUAUAUUUAUAUUUACAAAUAAUUGGUACCCCUUUGGAUCGUUUAUGACAUGAAAAUACGUAUUUAAUAGCUUUAUAUUAAGAAAGUGGGGUCCAAUCGGUACUAGUUUUCGAGAUAAUCAUCAAAACGGGGCUUUUUAACUCAAUUAUUGGUCUGCGGGUCCCACUGCAAUUAUUACAAGAUAAGGAUGAAGAAAAUAUCUCGUUUCACGCUUAUCGAGACAAACGGAUAAUUAUCAAAUACCGAAAAACUCCGCCGGACCGGCUCCGGAACAAACCGUACUCCGGAUCGAAAAAGUCAAAACACGAAAAAUGUCCGGAAUAUUAAAAUUAGGCUAAAGGUGAGCUUUGUUGAAACUUCCGGAAAGAAAAUUUGCUACCUCGUUACGAGUGGACGGUUUUACGGAAGUCAAAUAAUUAAUAAAUCAAUAUAAAUAUACACAAUUAAAUCCGUAAAUCGAUUAUAAAAUUAUCUAACAUUCCAUAAAUCGAUAUGAAAAUAUCCAAAUAAACUAUAUUUUCUCCUGAGCAUAUAGAAAUUGAUAUCUCUCAAAUACGAACACAUAUGAGCAGUUAACGCAAUAAACCAGAUAAUAUAAAAUUCACAAAAAUCCAUAUUUUAAUCAUAUAAUACUCAUAAUUAACCAUAAUUAAUUAACCAACAAAUCCACCAAUACCACUUACUCACAUCACACAUAUAUGCACAUAAUAAUCAUCUAGAAUUUUCGAAACAAUAUAUGAAAAUCAGUUUUAAAAAUACAAUUAUUUAUCAAUAACACAAUAACCCGGGGUUUAAAUAUAAACCUUUGAAAACUCAUUAAACUGGAAUAAAAUAUUAAAUCUUAUUCCUUUCUUUUUAAGAAAAUCAUUUUUAAUACUAAUAAAAAUAUUUUUAAAAAUCCGGGUUAUUACAAUCUACCCUCCUUAUAGGGAUUCCGUCCUCGGAAUCAGAGAAAGACGGAGGAUGCAUAAUUUGUAAAAUCCAUAUCAAUCCGCAAAACAAGUAUAACCACAUAAACUAUUCACAUAAUCAAUUCACUUUUCGAUUAAAGCCAACAACAAUAUUUAGACAAAUAGAUUUAUAAUAAUCAAAUCUAAAUUUAAUAAUAUGGGAUAUUACAUUCUACCCCCCUUAUAAGGAUUCCGCCCUCGGAAUCCGCAAAGAGAACUCAAACGUAUCACUUAUAAGAUUCCACUAUACGCUUCGUAAUAACGUAUCAUCAUUCACCUUUGAUCGGCCUUGGCAUACCUUUGACUUUAAAGAAAUUUGAGAAUCAACUUUCACAAUUGCAAAAUUCAUUUCCCAAAAAUCAAUCUUUGGGAAUUUUGAACAGAACAAGAUGUUUUCAAGGUAGAUCAUAUUUGAAUAAAGGAGUGACUGAGAGAUCUAUAUGAUCAACGAACUUGGUGUUGCGUGUCCACAUUAGACACUACUAAAGGUUGUUAACCUUCUUGUAAUCACAACACACACAAGUGAUGGCGUCCCAUCCAACUCCUAUCACACAGACAGGUAUACCUUGUGUCCCCUAUAAAUAGGGUUGUUCAUCCCAAUCAAAUUGAAUAAAUGUCAAGGAAUAUCAAAGAAUGUCAAGGAAUAUCAAAGAUAUCAAAGAACAUCAAGGAAUAUCAAGGAAGAUGAAAGGGUAUCAAGGAAUGUCAAGAAAUGUCAAACAAUAUCAAGGAACAUCACUAUCUCUUCACAACAAACCUUUAUCACACAUCUUUGCUUUCCAACUCAUACCAAUAAUCAAUAUCAAUGUCAUCUUAGAAUUUGAGAAAUUGAAGAUCUCAUUUAUCAAAACUUUUGUAGAAAAGAUAUCAUGAUAAUAUCUCACUGAUGAGAAAACAAUCAAAAGAAUCUUUAGUUGAAGAGAGGUAUUGCCAAGGUCUUCUCAGAUUCUCACUCUACUUUACGAAAUCGUUAUUCGAUUUAUGUCAUCCUUUCAACGUUCUCGAUAAUCAAUCGAUUUGACUCGUAAUAGCCUCUUAAGAUGUCAUCGUAGACGUUAUCGUCCGUAAUAACUCUGGCCCAUGUAGUUUACAUUCUUCUACUUUAUCCCAGUUGCCUUUGAAAUCCAUAGCACAAACACGUAACGUAUCUUCGAUUGUCUGGAUCAUCAACCUGUGGGUUAUGGGCCCACCUUGAUGCCAUUUGAAAUCCCGAUUAGCUCGAAGCGUUGUCGUCGAGGACUAACGUUCUAACUUACUCGUAGACAUCAUCUCUAAUAACUGGACUCAAUUCCACGUACUCUCUAUCAUUCACUUCUCACCUAUCAACCUCUAUCUACCAAUCUCUCCUUCUAAUCCAAUACAACUCAUACUCUACACUUACUCUUCAUAUCUUCACUCAAAACAAUAUACAUCUUCCAAAUAUCUGACAUGGUCAACAUACUAUGAACCAUGCAUUUAUAUCAUCCUCAAAUCAAUACAAUAAUCCAAUUUUCAACUAUGCAGUAUAGUCAGAAUACUCUGAACUCUGCAUUUUCACCAUUCUCAACUCAAUCAUUCACUAUCAAACUCUUCCAUAUAGGUCUAAUACUGACCUUUUCCACAAUUCACCAUCUCAAUUAAUCAACAUACUAGAAAUCAUAUGUCUAAACUCAAGAAUCAAAAUCUUUCUAAACCUAUACACUCAACUUAAUCAUCUAACUAGAUUCUAAUCCUGACACAUCUCUAGACUAUUUCCAGAUAGUCUCACAAUACCUCUAUGUGAGGUUACACAACAUUCCUCAUCAAUAGAACUUAAAACUAUAAUCUAUAUUCUAAUUUCAAUUACUUAUAACCUGUCGCUCUGAUACCAACUGUGACAGCCCGAGAAUCCGGGGGUCUGGAUUCUGACGUCACCACACAAAACCCUUUUUAAAAUACUUUUGAAACCUGGUAUUUUCAUUUAAAGAUAAUGAAAAUCCAAAAGAAUUUAAAACUUGAAAACAUUUAUUAAAAGAUUUGAAUGAGAACAUAAAUCAAUGAUUUCAAAACCUGAAUUUCAAACUUGAAAACCAUAAUAAAAUAAUUUCCAGAGAACAUUUAAACUUUAAUAAAGGAUUCGAAAUAGAACAUUUAAACCCCCAAAAACAACAGGAUCGCUUCCAGGUUACAGUAUUAAAAUUAGAAUCUACCACUAUUUAUUACACAACAUCUCUUACCAAAUCAGAUCAUCUUCGAUAAGAAGAAUCACUGUCAACUAUUUCAGCUUGCACCAACCUCAUCCCUUUCCUGAACACUCCUUGACCACUGGAUCCUCAACUCUGUCUUCUCGCCUAGCAUUAGCCUUAUUCAUAAUCUCACUCCAUCAUCUCAUCUUUAAGCCUUUCUGAAAUGGUUAGAAAGGAAUAGCAAGGGUGAGCAACAAUGCUCAGCAAGUAAUAAUAAACACUGGUAAUUCUGAAAUGAUAUAACAGAAGUUCACGAGUUCAAGAUAUAAAAGGAUUCAACCUGAGUUCACGAGUUUAGGUAUUGUAUAAGAAAAUCACACUACCUUGCAGCAAUUUUGAAUACUGAGGAAUUCAAUCUUUCCAAAAGAAUUAUAGAAUUGGACUAUCACAUUUUAAUUAAAACCAAGGUUAGGCAGCUGAUCAGUUCCGCACUAACCCCGAGCAGGCCCCGCCAUGCUCUAUCACUGGAUCCAAGGCACUCAUUGGCCUAACAUGACCACGAAUCUGGUCCACAGGUUUAUAUAAAAACAAUAAUCCAAUUCUCUAAUUCAAUUCAAGAAGCCAAUGUAAAUUAACAGAACAUCAUCAUAAAUAUCAUCAACAACGGAAUAAUUCCAAAUCAAACUUUGAUAAUAAACUUUCCAUGAGUCACCGUCCAUCCAUCCAUAAAUCAGAGUUCAGGAAAUCCCUAACUAUUCAAUAUCCUCCAUUAUCGGCUAAUCAACUGAAUUUAGCCUGCUAGACCAGCAUGACAAUGGCGGGUUGAAUAAUCAAGAAGAUCCCAAUUCAUUCAAAGCUCUAACUAUCACUGAGCAACACAUGCUUCAAUGACAAUCUGAACUUCGAAUUAAUUUGUAAAACGGAAAUUAUCUGAACUUUUGAGGAUUAGAAAAGGAUGGAUAAAAAUAUUUGCACUUGCCAAAUAUGAAAGAGAGAGGAACGAAUAUUGGCAACACAUACGAAAAGAAUGGAUCAGAAUAAUCGCAAGAUAUCCAAAAGAAGGGUUCAGAAUACUUGCCUUAAAUCUGACUCCAGUCUCACAUCUCCAUCUCAUCUUUCAACUUUCACAAUCUAUGCCUCUCGUAAUCUCUAGACCAUCUCUAGUUAUACUUUAUUCGCCACAUCGCUUCGCUUCCUCGAUUCGUGCCUUAUUCGCUUUGCAAUAUCAUUUGACUUUCUGAACGUCUUUGGUCAUCCUCGUCUCGUCCAAAU
This 7226-nucleotide long non-coding RNA is filed under the name Daucus carota (carrot). RNAcentral's name for it is "long non-coding RNA (DCAR_LNC001006)". Lineage: Eukaryota; Viridiplantae; Streptophyta; Magnoliopsida; Apiales; Apiaceae. The record is from RNAcentral.